RNAcentral lists this ribosomal RNA (462 nucleotides) under uncultured Enterobacteriaceae bacterium. RNAcentral describes it as "bacterial SSU rRNA". It matches the Rfam family "Bacterial small subunit ribosomal RNA", at positions 1 to 477 of the family's 1533-position model. Lineage: Bacteria; Pseudomonadati; Pseudomonadota; Gammaproteobacteria; Enterobacterales; Enterobacteriaceae. The record is from RNAcentral.
UCGGCUUAGAGUUUGAUCAUGGCUCAUAUUGAACGCUGGCGGCAGGCUUAACACAUGCAAGUCGAACGGUAAAGUAGCUUGCUACUUACGAGUGGCGGACGGGUGAGUAACGUAUGGGAAUUUACCGAAUGGAGGGGGACAACAGUUGGAAACGGCUGCUAAUACCGCAUAACGUCGAGAGACCAAAGGGUUUCUACUUGCCAUUUGAUGAGCCCAUAUGAGAUUAGCUAGUUGGUGUGGUAAUGGCUCACCAGGGCGACGAUCUCUAUCUGGUUUGAGAGGAUGACCAGCCACACUGGGACUGAGACACGGCCCAGACUCCUACGGGAGGCAGCAGUGGGGAAUAUUGCACAAUGGGGGGAACCCUGAUGCACCCAUGCCGCGUGUAUGAAGAAGGUCUUAGGGUUGUAAAGUACUUUCGUGGAGGAGGAACGGUGUACGUAAUCGUGGACAUUGACGUUA